UACGUAGGGUGCAAGCGUUGUCCGGAAUCAUUGGGCGUAAAGAGCGUGUAGGCGGCUCGAUUAGUCCGCUGUAAAAGUCCAGGGCUCAACCCUGGGAUGCCGGUGGAAACUGUCGGGCUAGAGUCCGGGAGAGGCGAGUGGAAUUCCUGGUGUAGCGGUGAAAUGCGCAGAUAUCAGGAGGAACACCAAUGGCGAAGGCAGCUCGCUGGAACGGUACUGACGCUGAGACACGAAAGCGUGGGUAGCAAACAGG
Molecule: ribosomal RNA, 253 nt
Filed under: uncultured bacterium
Lineage: Bacteria
Description: partial 16S ribosomal RNA
Rfam family: Bacterial small subunit ribosomal RNA
Source: RNAcentral